CUGUGCAUCCCUUUGUCAGGUGGUCGUCUUUCAUGGUCGUCUCACUGCCUCGUUGUCGUGGCUCCUUCAUCUCAAGCUCUGGUCGUGAAGGUGCUUGGACCAAGUAGGGUAUCCCAGACGUCCGUCUCUCACCCAUCCACACUGUCCAGCUCUUCCUGGAGGAUCACGAGGUCUGAUGGGAUUAAAAGUGACAGUCCUCAGUCUUCACACCAGUUCUCUUCACCUGACCAACACCCAGCUGUGCACCUGCUUCUUCUUCCUCCUCAGUGAUCCUCUGUAAACAACACGUCCUCUACGUCAGAUUGUUUAUUCAGCAACAGCGUUCCAGACUUUUUUUUUUUUUUCAUCCACAUUUCUUCUGCCAUUGGACACUGUUUUUCACAUUGUUGUUAUUCCAUCUGCCUACUUCUGGGUUUAAAUCUUGAGUCUCCAUGUUGGUAGACAUUAAAUAUCGAGCCAUUUAGUAUCGAGCCAAUCAUUUGAGCGCUAUAUAUUUGAGCACUAUAUGUUUAUAUAUAUAUAUAUAUAUCUUCGCUGGUAACACUUUACUUGAACCCCCCCUUCUGCAGUACUUUAUGCAUAUUUGAUACUUUUGAUGUUUAUAAAUGCACAAUAUUUAGUAGAUUAAAAUAAAUCUGUAAACUUAUCUGCUGCUUUGUUUGCUUCACUGCCUCCACCAGUUUUUUUGUUGACAUCUGUUUGGUGCUGAUAGACCAAAUGGACGGGGUGAAAGCAGAACCUCCUUGGUGGAGGUGUCUCUUAUUUUUAAAGUUGAUAUUUAAGCUGAUGCGGGUCAUUAAAGAUCACAGAGAUGCUCACACCUCAGUCAUACUGUGCAGAUGACCUCUGAGCGGCUCAUUCUCUGGAAAUAAACCGUUUUCAUGUCGCCUGAAUAAAGUUUAGUCAGUUAAUCGUUUUUGAUGAUGGUUCACGCUGAUCUGAAUCCAUAUGUGACUCUAAUGCGUCUGCCCAAGCUACUGAAGUGUAUUUCUGGGUGAUGAAUGUUUCUCACAUACUUUGGAUAGAACGAUAACAGUCCUAUAAUUGCCUCAGGCGUGUAUGUGUAUGUAUGUAAGGUCAGUCAGGAUACAGGCCCCAUUAACAGGCCGCCUGUCAGGCUGAUGACCAUUAGUACAAUAGUACUUGUUGGUUGUCACCUCCAUCAGCCAUAAGAGAAGACUGCAGAGGCCUUGGCCUCAAAACGUCUGGAGCAAUAUGAAACUGGAUGAUGUUGAAUAAUAUCACUGAUAAUAAUAAAUAAUUCAUAGCUUG
Long non-coding RNA from Paralichthys olivaceus (Japanese flounder), 1272 nucleotides. RefSeq lists it as uncharacterized. The record is from RefSeq and is a predicted model, not a curated record. Lineage: Eukaryota; Metazoa; Chordata; Actinopteri; Pleuronectiformes; Paralichthyidae.